CCUGGUCUCUCCGGCGAGCGACCGCAGCCUCCUCCUGCAGUGGGAUCCCCCUGGCUUCGCUGCAGCAGCCUAUGUCUUCGAGUGGGGCCGGGCGUCUGAGAACCGGGGGCAGAACAGCAGCUGGUGCUACGAGCCGGGGAACAUCAGCAGGGCGGUCCUGGCAGAGGCAAUUGAGCCGGGGUAUCUCUACAGCCUGACACUCUUUGCCCUGAGCGACGGAGCUGUCCGGGCUGCAGGCUCUACAAGCGCUUACUCCAAGCAGAUCGCUCCAUUCCGUGCCCCAACUCUGCAUCCCACCCGUGUCUGGCCAUCCCAGGUGGAGGUGCAGUGGGAGGAGG
Molecule: long non-coding RNA, 338 nt
Organism: Terrapene triunguis (Three-toed box turtle)
Lineage: Eukaryota; Metazoa; Chordata; Testudines; Emydidae
Exons: 3
Source: RefSeq, a predicted model, not a curated record